ACUCCUACGGGAGGCAGCAGUGGGGAAUAUUGGACAAUGGGCGAAAGCCUGAUCCAGCAACGCCGCGUGAGGGAUGACGGCCUUCGGGUUGUAAACCUCUUUCAGCGGGGACGAAGCGAAAGUGACGGUACCCGCAGAAGAAGCACCGGCCAACUACGUGCCAGCAGCCGCGGUAAUACGUAGGGUGCGAGCGUUGUCCGGAAUUAUUGGGCGUAAAGGGCUCGUAGGCGGUUUGUCGCGUCGGGAGUGAAAACACUGGGCUUAACCGAGUGCUUGCUUUCGAUACGGGCAGACUAGAGGUAUGCAGGGGAGAACGGAAUUCCUGGUGUAGCGGUGAAAUGCGCAGAUAUCAGGAGGAACACCGGUGGCGAAGGCGGUUCUCUGGGCAUUACCUGACGCUGAGGAGCGAAAGUGUGGGGAGCGAACAGGAUUAGAUACCCUGGUAGUCCACACCGUAAACGUUGGGCGCUAGGUGUGGGGUCUAUUCCAUGGACUCCGUGCCGCAGCUAACGCAUUAAGCGCCCCGCCUGGGGAGUACGGCCGCAAGGCUAAAACUCAAAGGAAUUGACGGGGGCCCGCACAAGCGGCGGAGCAUGCGGAUUAAUUCGAUGCAACGCGAAGAACCUUACCUGGGUUUGACAUAUACCGGAAGGCCUUAGAGAUAAGGCCCCUUUUGUCGGUAUACAGGUGGCGCAUGGCUGUCGUCAGCUCGUGUCGUGAGAUGUUGGGUUAAGUCCCGCAACGAGCGCAACCCUCGUUCUAUGUUGCCAGCAUGCCCUUCGGGGUGAUGGGGACUCAUAGGAGACUGCCGGGGUCAACUCGGAGGAAGGUGGGGAUGACGUCAAGUCAUCAUGCCCCUUAUGUCCAGGGCUUCACGCAUGCUACAAUGGCCGGUACAAAGGGCUGCGAUCCCGUGAGGGGGAGCGAAUCCCAAAAAGCCGGUCUCAGUUCGGAUUGGGGUCUGCAACUCGACCCCAUGAAGUCGGAGUCGCUAGU
Molecule: ribosomal RNA, 996 nt
Filed under: uncultured bacterium
Lineage: Bacteria
Description: bacterial SSU rRNA
Rfam family: Bacterial small subunit ribosomal RNA
Source: RNAcentral